RNAcentral lists this long non-coding RNA (1105 nucleotides) under Homo sapiens (human). RNAcentral's name for it is "HSALNT0090613". The record is from RNAcentral. Lineage: Eukaryota; Metazoa; Chordata; Mammalia; Primates; Hominidae.
UUUUCAGUAUUGCCAAGUCCUGGACCAGUUUGUGUACAGGUCUCUGGCCAACUGUGUCACCUCUUCUGCAUUUCACCUGCACCGUCAAAUGCGGAGGACUGGAGGCACUGAGAGACUGAUGCAAACUCUGGAGAGAAACUGAGGCUCCUAAAGGUACUGUUUACCACAAUGAACACACUUUUAUCAUGUCAACAACUUCCAUCUCUACAUUGCCCUGUGUAAGAAUAUACUGGGAGCUGAUAUAACCUCAAUGAUGGUAAAACAGGAUGUAGAAUCCAGAAAACAUUCCUGAAAUGGACCAAACAUCAAUAUUCUGAAACAGAAGUGGAAAUGAAACUGAAACAGAAAAAGUGAAUUGGGUAAUAAAUAUACUAAAGAACAAUUUUUCUAAUAGUUGGCAGAAGGUGGUAAGGUAAGUUCAAAAAGUUCAUCUGUGAGUAAAGGCACAUUAUUGUGAGGUGGCUUUCUUAACAGAUUCAGGAAUCUUUAUUCAGAAUCUUCAUACACUGUGUUUGUGCAUGCUAUGAAAUCCUAGUGGUAGAAAUAUAUUUUAGGGUUGGGAUCUAAGUUAAACAGUGGUAGAAUGGAUUUGACAUAUUCACGUGAUUGGCUUUGUCAGAAAUGUGUCUGAAAACUUGCCAGACCAAUCGCGUCAGUGUCAUUUGCAAUAAUCCAGAUGACAGAGUAUGUCAGUGAAAUAUUUCCCCAGAAUGUGGGAGCAUCAUCAGCUGUCUCAGUGUAGGCUAUUUUUACUAUAGGAAGUGAAAAUGUUUAUCUUCCAUCUUGUAAUACAGAAAGGCAAACUGUAUUGUCAUAAUAUAAAUACUCAGUGGCCAUGAAUUUUGAGACUAUGAGAAGAAACAAUAGAAUAUAAGAUUCUAAUAUGGCUAUUUAUGAAAAAAAAAUAGAGAAGAUAAAUCAGAGUUGAAGCAUUCAAUUAUGCAAAUGAGCAAGAGAAGUUUGCUCAUAACAGAGAGACAGCAAGUUAUAAUAUAAAGACCAUCGGGGCUGGGCGCGGUAGCUCACGCCUGUAAUCCCGACACUUUGGGAGGCCGAGGCUGGUGGAUCACGAGGUCAGGAGAUCGAGACCAGCCUGGCCAAUAUG